Molecule: ribosomal RNA, 253 nt
Filed under: uncultured bacterium
Lineage: Bacteria
Description: partial 16S ribosomal RNA
Rfam family: Bacterial small subunit ribosomal RNA
Source: RNAcentral
UACGAAGGGGGCUAGCGUUGUUCGGAAUUACUGGGCGUAAAGCGCACGUAGGCGGCUUGGUAUGUCGGGUGUGAAAUCCCCGGGCUCAACCUGGGAACUGCAUCCGAAACUGCCUUGCUCGAGUAUGGGAGAGGGAAGUGGAAUUUCCGGUGUAGUGGUGGAAUGCGUAGAUAUCGGGAGGAACACCAGUGGCGAAGGCGGUUGCCUGGAGCUUUGCUGACGCUGAGGCGCGAAAGCGUGGGGAGCGAUCCGG